Molecule: long non-coding RNA, 3958 nt
Filed under: Sorghum bicolor (sorghum)
Lineage: Eukaryota; Viridiplantae; Streptophyta; Magnoliopsida; Poales; Poaceae
Description: long non-coding RNA (SBIC_LNC014239)
Source: RNAcentral
UGUGGGCCUUUCUUCCUUAUUUCCUGAUAACCCCCUGCAGAAAUAGACAAACACCAAAACUCGUGGAAUUCUAUCAGAUAAAACCCUAAGUCUAGAUGUUGAUUUCAUUUGGAUCCUUUUCUUUGUUUAUUUGAUAGUUAAAUUUGAUACUUAAGGACCGUCAACAAACUCCCCCAAGCUUACCUCUUGCUCGUCCCUGAGCAAGGAUAGACUCAGCUAUGGAUCAUAAGUUGUUGCAAUAUCUUUAAAAAUUUGACGGUACACAUGCUUUUAAAUGAGGUCUCAUCUCUGAGUUAGAGUAAACUGUCAAGACUUAAAACUUACUUACUUUACCUUCACCAUGGGACUUGUAACUGUCACUUCUGUCUUGAGUGGUUAAAAGAUAGAACAGUCCAGUCAAGUGCCAUGUCGCUUAUUCUUGAUCAGCUAUAGCUCUGGAGUUUUUGCAGAUUUUCAAAUAAAACUCAGAGAUUCCUUUGUAUGACUCUCUCAUAUCUCUCUUUUGUGGUAUUUCUAGAUCCUUACCAAGGCAGUGAUGGUAUAUGCCUUCUCUCAAGAUAUGUGGUAUUUGUGGUAUAAGGCAUAGUGACAUUGCCUUCUCUCUCACCCUACUCUAAUAAGGCUUUAAUAUCUGGAGCUUAUAGGUGGGAGAUAAAGUAUACAUACUUACAAGACAUUUAUUGUAUAGUCAAACCAUGGAUCCAAAGAAACAAAUCAAUAAGCCAAAUCAAGAUGUGCAUGUGUGGCGAAUGAAUGGUGUAUAGUGAUGAUGGUGAUAACAAUGGUGAAAGUCUAAUUCUACUUUUGCUCUUAUGAGGGGAUACAUACCUUCCUUACUUUUUGAAACUUUAUGAGGAGAAUGAGAUGCUCUUCUUUUUCUUUCCUCUCAGGUGGAUAUCUUGUACCCCUAAUUCUACUGUCGGACACUUGUCCAUUUUUACCUCUCGUCUCACUUUUUUUCUUUUCUUUCGAGGUUCCGGGCACUUGCCCCUUUUUAUUUCUUAGUUUAUUAUUUUUUUUCUUUUCUUCUCUUUUCUUUUUUUUAGAGCACUCAUCUCCUGAAAUAAUGUAGCAAGUGGUAGUAACCAAAAUAACUGGAGCAUUUAUUUCACAGGGAAUAACAGGGAUAGGAAAAUGUUUUUGGCUAUUCUCUCCCGGAUUAGGAGUAGAAUGAUUUUGGGUGAAACUGGAGAUGGAAAUGGAUGGAUAUAUGUGGAUGGUACUUCCGGAGUAGAAGUAGCAUAUAUGAGUGAACGUGCAAGUGAAUCUUGAUUUAACCACAUGAGAAGCUCCUAAGGGUCUACACAGCUUGACCACACUCAAUGCUCAUAAGCAGUAAAUAAUAAAUGUGUGGCUUAAAGUCUAGCAAGCAUGUAUAUAUGGCUAUGGUAGGAAUUUAAACAUUCAUCAUACAGGAACUCAUCAUGCAAUAUUUUAAAGAUUUUUCAAAGAUAAAAUUCUCCAGAAUUCUAGCAUCUCUAUGAAUAGAUAAACAACAGCUCAACCUUCCCAUAUCAUAUCCGUUAACAACUUAGAUUUCAGAUCAAGUUUUCAUCCCACAAGUUUAGAUCUAGAGCAAGCUUUAAAUUAUAACAGUUAUGUCUAAACUUGAGAGAGAACUUUAAAUUUGCAAAUUAGGCAGAGCAACUAUUCAUCAUAUCCAUGCUAGAGUUUUAUUAUUAAGAUUCAUAGCAAACUUUAUUUAUUUAUUAAACACACUAAGCAAAAGAUAUAUAUAUAAGCACAAAUUUUUUAUUUGGUUUUUCAUAGUUUAUGUAUUUUAAUAUUCUAACAUAAUAUAAGUAUAAAGAUAGGUAGAAAUACUUAGCGAGAUAAAUGGGGGUGCUCUCCCCCAAGCUGAAUUUUGACGUAAUUUCUCUUGAUGUAGCUAGCAGGUGGCAGAGGUGUAUUUGAAAGUCACCAGCAUUCUGACAGCGAUUAGAAUGUCCUCCGUCUGCUAGUCUUCUUGAUUCUUAAAUUCUGUGGAGCUCAAAUAGACAACAAAGCUUGUGGAACUAAUUAAGUGUUAGCAUAAAUAUGUAGCCUUCAUCACGUUGAGCUUCCUCAAUAAAUAUUACUCCCUGUUUUUAUAUUUUUAUUUUAUAAAGUAGAAAAGAAAUAUUUAUUUUAUUUUUAUGCCACCAAAGUGAAGGUACUUAUGGGUUUUAUGCCACUCGUAUACUCACAUGGGGCUUAGUAUUUUUUAACAUUUUUAUUUUCUUUUCAAGAUAGCAUGAUUAGCUAAUAAUCUAUUUAAGAAAGUAAAUAAUUAAAUGGAAAAGGGAAUGCAGAAAGGAUAAAUAUGGAUAACUGCCAAUCUUACCUUUCGGCGAGGGUUCAAUGUUUUAAGUCUUCUUGACAAGACUUCUCACCGAGUUCAUUCUUCUGGUGCGUCAUUUGAUUUAGGUGCGGACCUUGACGUCUGCACCUUUUAAUACGGUGUCACCCAUGUUCUUCGUUUGCCCAGCAGUUCGAAGUGCGGUGUUAGCAGUAUCUUGCUCAGUGUGUUUGUGCUCGUAGUGUACCUGCUCAUAGAGACAAGGCAGAGAUCAAGUGCAUGGGCCCUGUUGGUGGAAAACACCAAUAGAACCAAAAGUGUAUUUGUUCUUCUCUAACCAUAAGCAUAGUGAGCAAGACAAGUUGAUGGAUGAUAAGUUCAUGAGUGUAGCACUUAUAACAUUUGUCAGAUCAGAUCGCUCAACCUUAUGGAAAGAUAAUCUAUAUAUGUAUAUGUUUUUUUUUCUUUAUAUCUCUUAAUGAUUGAAUGUGUAACAUUUUAGCUCAUAUAAUUAGGAGUGUGGGAUCAUGGAGGUAGUACUAAGAACAAGGAUUAAAGGACUAAACAUGUUUGAAUCAGUUGGGUUGGUUAAUCUAGAGUUGUAAAUCAUACACGUUUGUCUCUUUUAUUUAUAUGAACGCCAGAACCAAGGAGAAGCUUAUAAAAGUGAUAGUCAAGUACCUUAAGAUGUUACCUUGCUCGAAGAGUGAUGGUACAAUAUCAUCUUGUGGAAGCUUUCCUUAGCGGUUGUGCGUGGUGUUUGUGGCACCCUCCAUGGAUCAUCUCUCUAUGAUGAAUGAGCUAUGUCCUUCUUGUGCAAAUUGUUAAACUUCAUGUGUCACUCUCUUCAUCUCUGAUGUGAGUUUAUCUCAGGACUUCCCAAAUCGAUAUUGAAAGUUUUUCUGCAGGGGUUAGUCCGACAAAAUACACCAAUAUCUACUCAAGCAGUUUUUUAGUUCAAUAACCAAACUAGACUCCAUGUCUAAUCAGAUUAAGGAAGGCUAUUUAACCUAAGCACCAUGCUUAAUUUAAAUGCCAAUGGAAGUAUGGUGAGUACUUCCAAACCAACACUUGCUAGUAAAUAGACAAAGGUAGCAUGACAGCGUUUAUAGAGAUCUACUCAAGUGGAGAUGAAGUAGUGUGAUUAGUAUUUAACAAAUUGAGCAUGUCUCAAAGGUAGGGACAACCAGCAUAGCAACAUGGCAAAGGAUGUUUUUAUGUAAAGUACUCCCCCAAGCUUGAAUUUUGCAAAAUUCAAGUUUGCAUGAAUUUAAUUCAAUGUUGUAUGAUGAUUGGUUGGACAUACCUUGUGCUUGUCAUUCAUCCGAUCUUCUUGCUCCAAUCUUAGAAAGGUUAGUGACAAGAAUACCCGAAGAAUUUUUUUUUUACAAUUAUCCUUAUAUGCUUAAUACACAAGGUAAUAUUGCAAAUAAUUAAAAGCUCAUGUUACGAUCUGAUCAGUGCUUAUUUUAGGACACUAAGCUUGUCCUUGGGAACCCAUCAAUUUAUGUCGGCGAAGUGGUUUCCCUUCCAACGCUGACCUAUAUCAAGACCAACUCAACGAGAUCUGCAAUAUUUAUUAUAGACAUAUGCAUCGACAACCGCCCUUUUAAAGUUUUUAUAAAUAGAAAGGAAGAGGGGGUUGGAGAUCUCAAGUGUGGUGAUGUCGGAGAGACCAAU